Molecule: ribosomal RNA, 460 nt
Filed under: uncultured bacterium
Lineage: Bacteria
Description: partial 16S ribosomal RNA
Rfam family: Bacterial small subunit ribosomal RNA
Source: RNAcentral
CCUACGGGUGGCAGCAGUGAGGAAUAUUGGUCAAUGGACGAGAGUCUGAACCAGCCAAGUAGCGUGAAGGAUGACUGCCCUAUGGGUUGUAAACUUCUUUUAUAUGGGAAUAAAACGUUCCACGUGUGGGUUUUUGUAUGUACCAUAUGAAUAAGGAUCGGCUAACUCCGUGCCAGCAGCCGCGGUAAUACGGAGGAUGCGAGCGUUAUCCGGAUUUAUUGGGUUUACAGGGAGCGUAGGUGGUUUGUUAAGUCAGUUGUGAAAGUUUGCGGCUCAACCGUAAAAUUGCAGUUGAAACUGGCAGGCGUGAGUACAGUUGAGGUGGGCGGAAUGCGUGGUGUAGCGGUGAAAUGCUUAGAUAUCACGAAGAACUCCGAUUGCGAAGGCAGCUCACUGGACUGCAACUGACACUGAGGCUCGAAAGUGUGGGUAUCAAACAGGAUUAGAUACCCGUGUAGUC